This 73-nucleotide transfer RNA is filed under the name Haemaphysalis longicornis (longhorned tick). It matches the Rfam family "tRNA". Rfam says of the family: Transfer RNA (tRNA) molecules are approximately 80 nucleotides in length. Lineage: Eukaryota; Metazoa; Arthropoda; Arachnida; Ixodida; Ixodidae. The record is from Rfam by way of RNAcentral.
CCGCCGGUAGCGUUGUGGUUAUCGCACCAGACCGAUAUUCUGGAGGUCGUGGGUUCAGAUCCCACCCGGCGGG